UAGUGGCGAACGGGUGAGUGAUGCAUCAGAACGGGUCGAGAAGAGGGGGAUAACCACCCGAAAGGGUAGGCUAAUACCGCAUAAAUUCCGAGGAAGAAAGCUGGGGACCUAUGAAUAAGCCUAGCGCUUUUUGAGCGGUCGAUGUCGGAUUAGCUAGUUGGUGAGGUAAAGGCUCACCAUGGCGAUGAUCUGUAGCGGGUCUGAGAGGAUGAUCCGCCGCUCUGGGACUGAGACUCGGCCCAGACUCCUACGGGAGGCAGCAGAGGGGAAUUUUGGACUAUGGGGGCCACCCUGAUCCAGCCAUGCCGCGCGUAUGAAGAAGGCCUUAGGGUUGUAAAGUACUUUUGUUAGGGAAGAAAAGUCAGCUGUGUAUAAUGGCUGUUACUGACGGCACCUAUCAGAAUAAGCUCCGGCUAACUACGUGCCAGCUGCCGCGGUAACACGUACGGUGCGAGCGUUAAUCAGAAUUAUCGGGCGUAAAGCGAGUGUACACAGUUAUUUAAGCCAGAUGUGAAAUACCCGAGCCUAUCUUGGGAGGUGCACAUGGAACUGGGUAGCUAGAGUGUGUCAGAAGGAGGCAGAACUCCACGCGUAGCAGUGAAAUGCGUAGAGAUGUGGAAGAACACCGUCGGCGAAGGCAGCCGCCUGAGAUCACACUGACGUUGAGGCUGGAAAGUGUGGGGAGCAAACAGGAUUAGAUACCUUGGUAGUCCACGCCUUAAACGAUGACAAUUAGCUGUUGGCCCCAUUAAGGGGUGAGUAGCGAAGCUAACGCGUGAAAUUGUCCGCUUGGGGAGUACGGUCGCAAGAUUAAAACUCAAAGGAAUUGACGGGGACCCGCACAAGCGGUGGAUGAUGUGGAUUAAUUCGAUGCAACGCGAAGAACCUUACUUGGUCUUGACAUGUACAGAAGGUUUUAGAGAUAAGACUGUGCUUUCGGGAACUGUAACACAGGUGCUGCAUGGCUGUUGUCAGCUCGUGUCGUGAGAUGUUGGGUUAAGUCCCGCAACGAGCGCAACCCUUUUCAUUAGUUGCCAUCAUUAAGUUGGGCACUCUAAUGAGACCGCCGGUGAUAAACCGGAGGAAGGUGGGGAUGAUGUCAAGUCAUCAUGGCCCUUAUGACCAGGGCUUCACACGUCAUACAAUGGUAGGUACAGAGGGUAGCGAAGCGGCGACGUGAAGCCAAUCUCAGAAAGCCUAUCGUAGUCCGGAUUGUAGUCUGCAACUCGACUACAUGAAGUCGGAAUCGCUAGUAAUCGCAGAUCAGCAUGUUGCGGUGAAUACGUUCCCGGGUCUUGUACACACCGCCCGUCACACCAUGGGAGUGGGAGAUGCCAGAAGUGGGUAGGGUAUCCGAGAGGAGCCCGCUCACCACGGUAUG
RNAcentral lists this ribosomal RNA (1381 nucleotides) under uncultured organism. Its description in RNAcentral is "16S ribosomal RNA". It matches the Rfam family "Bacterial small subunit ribosomal RNA", at positions 93 to 1466 of the family's 1533-position model. The record is from RNAcentral.